Molecule: transfer RNA, 76 nt
Filed under: Bacilli bacterium
Lineage: Bacteria; Bacillati; Bacillota; Bacilli
Also listed under: 2 other names
Description: tRNA-Ile
Rfam family: tRNA
About the family: Transfer RNA (tRNA) molecules are approximately 80 nucleotides in length.
Source: RNAcentral
GGACCAAUAGCUCAACGGUUAGAGCUCCCCGCUCAUAACGGGUAGGUUCUAGGUUCGAAUCCUAGUUGGUCCACCA